Molecule: ribosomal RNA, 1047 nt
Filed under: uncultured bacterium
Lineage: Bacteria
Description: bacterial SSU rRNA
Rfam family: Bacterial small subunit ribosomal RNA
Source: RNAcentral
AGGACGAACGCUGGCGGCGUGCCUAAUACAUGCAAGUCGAGCGAGUCUGCCUUGAAGAUCGGAGUGCUUGCACUCUGUGAAACAAGAUACAGGCUAGCGGCGGACGGGUGAGUAACACGUGGGUAACCUGCCCAAGAGAUCGGGAUAACACCUGGAAACAGAUGCUAAUACCGGAUAACAACAGAUGAUGCCUAUCAACUGUUUAAAAGAUGGUUCUGCUAUCACUCUUGGAUGGACCUGCGGUGCAUUAGCUAGUUGGUAGGGUAACGGCCUACCAAGGCGAUGAUGCAUAGCCGAGUUGAGAGACUGAUCGGCCACAUUGGGACUGAGACACGGCCCAAACUCCUACGGGAGGCAGCAGUAGGGAAUCUUCCACAAUGGACGCAAGUCUGAUGGAGCAACGCCGCGUGAGUGAAGAAGGUUUUCGGAUCGUAAAGCUCUGUUGUUGGUGAAGAAGGAUAGAGGUAGUAACUGGCCUUUAUUUGACGGUAAUCAACCAGAAAGUCACGGCUAACUACGUGCCAGCAGCCGCGGUAAUACGUAGGUGGCAAGCGUUGUCCGGAUUUAUUGGGCGUAAAGCGAGCGCAGGCGGAAGAAUAAGUCUGAUGUGAAAGCCCUCGGCUUAACCGAGGAACUGCAUCGGAAACUGUUUUUCUUGAGUGCAGAAGAGGAGAGUGGAACUCCAUGUGUAGCGGUGGAAUGCGUAGAUAUAUGGAAGAACACCAGUGGCGAAGGCGGCUCUCUGGUCUGCAACUGACGCUGAGGCUCGAAAGCAUGGGUAGCGAACAGGAUUAGAUACCCUGGUAGUCCAUGCCGUAAACGAUGAGUGCUAAGUGUUGGGAGGUUUCCGCCUCUCAGUGCUGCAGCUAACGCAUUAAGCACUCCGCCUGGGGAGUACGACCGCAAGGGUUGAAACUCAAAGGAAUUGACGGGGGCCCGCACAAGCGGUGGAGCAUGUGGUUUAAUUCGAAGCAACGCGAAGAACCUUACCAGGUCUGACAUCUAGUUGCCAUUUGUAGAGAUACAAGUUUCCCUUCGGGGACGCUA